UAAUACGAAGGGGGCUAGCGUUGCUCGGAAUUACUGGGCGUAAAGGGCGCGUAGGCGGCCCUGCAAGUCAGGCGUGAAAUUCCCGGGCUCAACCUGGGGGCUGCGCUUGAGACUGCGGGGCUAGAGGCCGAGAGAGGGUGGUGGAAUUCCCAGUGUAGAGGUGAAAUUCGUAGAUAUUGGGAAGAACACCGGUGGCGAAGGCGGCCACCUGGCUCGGUACUGACGCUGAGGCGCGACAGCGUGGGGAGCAAACAGG
This 256-nucleotide ribosomal RNA is filed under the name uncultured bacterium. RNAcentral's name for it is "partial 16S ribosomal RNA". It matches the Rfam family "Bacterial small subunit ribosomal RNA", at positions 521 to 776 of the family's 1533-position model. The record is from RNAcentral.